UGAGUAAGACAAAUGAUCGCGGUUGCCUUCGGGCAAACGAGGAAAGUCCGAGCUCCGCAGGGCAGGGUGCUGGGUAAUACCCAGUGGAGGCGACUCCAAGGAAAGUGCAACAGAGAGAUACAGCAUCCUGGAGGCUGGAGGUUAAAAACCCAGCUUCCAGCAUGUGAUGGUGGAAAGGUGAGGUAAGAGCUCACCAGCAUCCAGGCGACUGGAAUGGCUAUGUAAACCCCAUCCGGAGCAAGACCGAAUAGAGGACAUAUUUGCGGUUGCCCGCCGCGUCCUGGGAAAGGUCGCUUGAGCCUGUUGGCAACAACAGGCCUAGACAGAUGAUCAUUCACGACAGAACUCGGCUUACGGCUUAUCUCACUUU
This 370-nucleotide RNase P RNA is filed under the name Clostridiales bacterium. Its description in RNAcentral is "RNase P RNA component class A". It matches the Rfam family "Bacterial RNase P class A". From Rfam's summary of the family: Ribonuclease P (RNase P) is a ubiquitous endoribonuclease, found in archaea, bacteria and eukarya as well as chloroplasts and mitochondria. Its best characterised activity is the generation of mature 5'-ends of tRNAs by cleaving the 5'-leader elements of precursor-tRNAs. The record is from RNAcentral. Lineage: Bacteria; Bacillati; Bacillota; Clostridia; Eubacteriales. RNAcentral also lists the same sequence under 1 other name.